GCAAGUCGAACGGCAACGAGGAGAAGCUUGCUUCUCCGGCGGCGAGUGGCGCACGGGUGAGUAUAGCAUCGGAACGUGCCAAAUAGAGGGGGAUAACCAAGGGAAAGCAUGGCUAAUACCGCGUAAGCUCUAAGGAGGAAAGUAGGGGACCGCAAGGCCUUACGCUAUUUGAUCGGCCGAUGUCGGAUUAGCUAGUUGGUGAGGUAAUGGCUCACCAAGGCAAUGAUCCGUAGCGGGUCUGAGAGGACGAUC
Molecule: ribosomal RNA, 252 nt
Filed under: uncultured bacterium
Lineage: Bacteria
Description: partial 16S ribosomal RNA
Rfam family: Bacterial small subunit ribosomal RNA
Source: RNAcentral